GCUCGGAUAGCUCAGUUGGUAGAGCACAGAACCGAUAAUUCUGAUGUCGAUGGUUCGAGCCCAUCUCUGAGUUCCA
This 76-nucleotide transfer RNA is filed under the name Bacteroidota bacterium. Its description in RNAcentral is "Bacteroidetes bacterium (marine metagenome) tRNA-Ile". It matches the Rfam family "tRNA". Rfam says of the family: Transfer RNA (tRNA) molecules are approximately 80 nucleotides in length. Lineage: Bacteria; Pseudomonadati; Bacteroidota. The record is from RNAcentral.